GAUGAAGAACGUAGCGAAAUGCGAUAAGUAGUGUGAAUUGCAGAAUUCAGUGAAUCAUCGAAUCUUUGAACGCACAUUGCGCCCCUUGGUAUUCCAUGGGGCAUGCCUGUUCGAGCGUCAUUUGUACCUUCAAGCUCUGCUUGGUGUUGGGUGAUUGUCUAUCUUUGUAGACUCGCCUUAAAGUCAUUGGCAGCCGGCAUAUUGGCCUGGGAGCGCAGCACAAGUCGCGCUUCUUGUCAUGAAUGUUGGCGUCCAGUAAGUCUACAUAUUUUGCUCUUGACCUCGGAUCAGGUAGGGAUACCUGCUGAACUUAAGCAUAUCAAUAAGCGGAGGA
Molecule: unclassified non-coding RNA, 334 nt
Filed under: soil metagenome
Description: partial contains 5.8S ribosomal RNA, internal transcribed spacer 2, and large subunit ribosomal RNA
Rfam family: 5.8S ribosomal RNA (bases 1-120)
Source: RNAcentral